AUCUUUUUUUGGAUAUUAAACUUGAUAAGAAUGCUGUUCUUAUCAGCUUAAUAUCUGAUAUGUCGGGCAAUGCCCGACUCUUAUAUUAAAGUGAUUGUUGGAUAUAGGCCAUUGGAUUGGAGCUUGCUUCGCCCUGGCCACGGGUUGUCUCGGUGUUGCACUACCUCCGAGUUCGGCCCGAGUUCG
Xenia sp. Carnegie-2017 is the source of this 186-nucleotide small nuclear RNA. RefSeq annotates it as U2 spliceosomal RNA. The record is from RefSeq and is a predicted model, not a curated record. The transcript has a single exon. Lineage: Eukaryota; Metazoa; Cnidaria; Anthozoa; Malacalcyonacea; Xeniidae.